This 378-nucleotide ribosomal RNA is filed under the name uncultured eukaryote. Its description in RNAcentral is "partial 18S ribosomal RNA". It matches the Rfam family "Eukaryotic small subunit ribosomal RNA", at positions 592 to 976 of the family's 1831-position model. The record is from RNAcentral.
CAGUAGCGUAUAUUAAAGUUGUUGCAGUUAAAAAGCUCGUAGUUGGAUUCCUGUUCUUGGGAUCUGGUCCGCCUCACGGUGAGCACUGGAUAACUGGGGACAUCCUCUCGAAGGCGGCAGGUGCACUUGAUUGUGUGUUUGUUGAAUUCGGGACCUUUACUUUGAAAAAAUUAGAGUGUUCAAAGCAGGCGUCGGCUUGAAUACAUUAGCAUGGAAUAAUGGAAUAGGACUUUGGUUCUAUUUUGUUGGUUUCUAGGACCGAAGUAAUGAUUAAUAGGGACAGUUGGGGGCAUUAGUAUUUAAUUGUCAGAGGUGAAAUUCUUGGAUUUAUGAAAGACUAACUACUGCGAAAGCAUUUGCCAAGGAUGUUUUCAUUAA